Molecule: ribosomal RNA, 620 nt
Filed under: Trichoderma harzianum
Lineage: Eukaryota; Fungi; Ascomycota; Sordariomycetes; Hypocreales; Hypocreaceae
Description: eukaryotic LSU rRNA
Rfam family: 5.8S ribosomal RNA (bases 231-384)
Source: RNAcentral
GCGUCUUGCAGACAGUCGGAGGGACAUUACCGAGUUUACAACUCCCAAACCCAAUGUGAACGUUACCAAACUGUUGCCUCGGCGGGAUCUCUGCCCCGGGUGCGUCGCAGCCCCGGACCAAGGCGCCCGCCGGAGGACCAACCUAAAACUCUUUUUGUAUACCCCCUCGCGGGUUUUUUAUAAUCUGAGCCUUCUCGGCGCCUCUCGUAGGCGUUUCGAAAAUGAAUCAAAACUUUCAACAACGGAUCUCUUGGUUCUGGCAUCGAUGAAGAACGCAGCGAAAUGCGAUAAGUAAUGUGAAUUGCAGAAUUCAGUGAAUCAUCGAAUCUUUGAACGCACAUUGCGCCCGCCAGUAUUCUGGCGGGCAUGCCUGUCCGAGCGUCAUUUCAACCCUCGAACCCCUCCGGGGGGUCGGCGUUGGGGAUCGGCCCUGCCUUGGCGGUGGCCGUCUCCGAAAUACAGUGGCGGUCUCGCCGCAGCCUCUCCUGCGCAGUAGUUUGCACACUCGCAUCGGGAGCGCGGCGCGUCCACAGCCGUUAAACACCCAACUUCUGAAAUGUUGACCUCGGAUCACGUAGGAAUACCCGCUGAACUUAAGCAUACAUAAAAACCAAAAAAAA